GGGGCUGCUGCCCUCUGUGGAGCUUGGCUUAAGUCUUUGUUCCGGGAAGCUGUGUCAGUUCGAGAUACUGCUGCUGCCCGAAGACCUGAGUUCAUGGGUCAGUUUCAAGAACCUGAAAGGGCAGACAGUGGAAGAUCUGCCUGUCACCAGCUUACUGGUGAGGCAACGAGGUGAUUUCAGACUUGCCCAGUCAUGUUGAAGUCAACUUUAAGGGACACACGAAGAGAAGAUGGC
This is a non-coding RNA of Vicugna pacos (alpaca), 234 nucleotides long. Lineage: Eukaryota; Metazoa; Chordata; Mammalia; Artiodactyla; Camelidae. The record is from RefSeq and is a predicted model, not a curated record.